This 623-nucleotide long non-coding RNA is filed under the name Sarcophilus harrisii (Tasmanian devil). Its description in RNAcentral is "lncRNA (ENSSHAG00000030178.1)". The record is from RNAcentral. Lineage: Eukaryota; Metazoa; Chordata; Mammalia; Dasyuromorphia; Dasyuridae.
AUUUCCCUAUUGGUAAUUGUGACCAUAGCAACAGAACCUGGUGUUAUCUGCCUAGUGGAACCCAGGAGGCAGCCAUUUGACACCAACCCCCUGGUGACUGUUCUUUGAUAUUUACCUUUUCCAGAUUAAUGGAGCUGGAGCCCUUACCCUUGAAUGGAAGUCCCUUCUGAAAGCAGCCCAAAUGACCCUCCAUCAGGAGAGCCAGAGGAGCACAUCGUUUCAGCAGAGUCCACUUUGGCAGUGUGGAGAGUGAGAGACAUGAAACGGAAGAUCUGGAGGAAAGAGUACAGACACUGGUGGAAAAUCCGGCGAGAUAAACUUCAUAUUCCAAGCUGGUUUUAUUUCUGCAGUCUUUUUUCAAGGGCCAGGAAAGAACCCAAUUUCACAGCUGAGCUAGAGCAAACCGAGGAAUCUGGCAAAGGAGAGGUAUCCUGGCUGUGAGAAGAUGAACAGGGAAGAAAAAUAGACAAAAGAAUAAAAGAAAUCUUAAGAUGAGAUGGAGAGAGAUUGCCAAAUGAAGACAAACUGCUAAUAGGAAGAGGCACUAUGGUACCUAUCUGUCAUAAUAUCUCUUGCAUCUUGUUUAAUUUGCUAAAUUGAGUCCCGAUGUAGCUUAAGAUUUC